UGGGGAAUUUUGGACAAUGGGCGAAAGCCUGAUCCAGCAAUGCCGCGUGUGUGAAGAAGGCCUUCGGGUUGUAAAGCACUUUUGUCCGGAAAGAAAUCCUUGGCUCUAAUACAGUCGGGGGAUGACGGUACCGGAAGAAUAAGCACCGGCUAACUACGUGCCAGCAGCCGCGGUAAUACGUAGGGUGCAAGCGUUAAUCGGAAUUACUGGGCGUAAAGCGUGCGCAGGCGGUUUGCUAAGACCGAUGUGAAAUCCCCGGGCUCAACCUGGGAACUGCAUUGGUGACUGGCAGGCUAGAGUAUGGCAGAGGGGGGUAGAAUUCCACGUGUAGCAGUGAAAUGCGUAGAGAUGUGGAGGAAUACCGAUGGCGAAGGCAGCCCCCUGGGCCAAUACUGACGCUCACGCACGAAAGCGUGGGGAGCAAACAGGAUUAGAUACCCUGGUAGUCCACGCCCUAAACGAUGUCAACUAGUUGUUGGGGAUUCAUUUUCCUUAGUAACGUAGCUAACGCGUGAAGUUGACCGCCUGGGGAGUACGGUCGCAAGAUUAAAACUCAAGGAAUUGACGGGGUCAUAGCUG
RNAcentral lists this ribosomal RNA (579 nucleotides) under uncultured bacterium. Its description in RNAcentral is "partial 16S ribosomal RNA". It matches the Rfam family "Bacterial small subunit ribosomal RNA", at positions 355 to 932 of the family's 1533-position model. The record is from RNAcentral.